UAUGGCUAUAUCAUGUUGAAACACCGGUUCCCAUACUAUCAUUGAAGUUAAGCAAUGUUGAGCCUGGUCAGUACCUAGAUGGAUGAGCACUUGAGAAUACCAGGAGCCGUAAG
This is a non-coding RNA of Acanthosepion pharaonis, 113 nucleotides long. NCBI's taxonomy places the organism in Eukaryota, Metazoa, Mollusca, Cephalopoda, Sepiida, Sepiidae. The record is from the annotation of a GenBank genome assembly.